This 276-nucleotide long non-coding RNA is filed under the name Elaeis guineensis (African oil palm). Its description in RNAcentral is "long non-coding RNA (EGUI_LNC027522)". The record is from RNAcentral. Lineage: Eukaryota; Viridiplantae; Streptophyta; Magnoliopsida; Arecales; Arecaceae.
CCCUACUUUAAGACAAGAGCCUAAGAAGAGACUUAAGAAAAAAAUAGAGGAAGAAAGAGAGGGUUUAGGAGUUCAAGUCUAAGUCAAGGAGAAGCCAAGUCCAAGUGAAGGUGCGGGUUUGAUUAGAUUGGGUCAAAUCGAGUUCUAUUGGUUAAAACCCAUCAACAAGGUUUUGGCAUAACGAGUAUUGUUCCUAGAGUAGUUUCCAUGUGGAUCACCUGUGGAGGGCAUACGCUUGUGUGCCUGUGGAGAUUUGGGUAUUUAGCAUAAGAGGUA